GAUGAACGCUAGCUACAGGCUUAACACAUGCAAGUCGAGGGGCGUCAGGAAGAAAGCUUGCUUUCUUUGCUGGCGACCGGCGCACGGGUGAGUAACACGUAUCCAACCUGCCGAUGACUCGGGGAUAGCCUUUCGAAAGAAAGAUUAAUACCCGAUGGCAUAGUUCUUCCGCAUGGUAGAACUAUUAAAGAAUUUCGGUCAUCGAUGGGGAUGCGUUCCAUUAGGUUGUUGGCGGGGUAACGGCCCACCAAGCCUUCGAUGGAUAGGGGUUCUGAGAGGAAGGUCCCCCACAUUGGAACUGAGACACGGUCCAAACUCCUACGGGAGGCAGCAGUGAGGAAUAUUGGUCAAUGGACGAGAGUCUGAACCAGCCAAGUAGCGUGAAGGAUGACUGCCCUAUGGGUUGUAAACUUCUUUAUAAAGGAAUAAAGUCGGGUAUGUAUACCCGUUGCAUGUACUUUAUGAAUAAGGACCGGCUAAUUCCGUG
RNAcentral lists this ribosomal RNA (487 nucleotides) under uncultured bacterium. RNAcentral describes it as "bacterial SSU rRNA". It matches the Rfam family "Bacterial small subunit ribosomal RNA", at positions 28 to 507 of the family's 1533-position model. The record is from RNAcentral.